This 494-nucleotide ribosomal RNA is filed under the name uncultured bacterium. Its description in RNAcentral is "partial 16S ribosomal RNA". It matches the Rfam family "Bacterial small subunit ribosomal RNA", at positions 28 to 507 of the family's 1533-position model. The record is from RNAcentral.
GACGAACGCUGGCGGCGUGCUUGACACAUGCAAGUCGAACGGAAAGGCCUGCUUUCCCUUGUGGAUUGCGGGUACUCGAGUGGCGAACGGGUGAGUAACACGUGAGUGAUCUGCCCCCAACUUGGGUAUAAGCCUGGGAAACUGGGUCUAAUUCCCGAUAGGACUGCAGGGUGGUGCCUGUGGUGGAAAACGAUUUUCUAGUGGUUGGGGAUGAGCUCGCGGCCUAUCAGCUUGUUGGUGGGGUAAUGGCCUACCAAGGCGGCGACGGGUAGCCGGCCUGAGAGGGUGGACGGCCACAUUGGGACUGAGAUACGGCCCAGACUCCUACGGGAGGCAGCAGUGGGGAAUAUUGGACAAUGGGCGGAAGCCUGAUGCAGCGACGCCGCGUGGGGGAUGACGGCCUUCGGGUUGUAAACUCCUUUCGACCGCGAGGAAGCCACCUGGUUGGAAGGGUGGUGACGGUAGUGGUAGAAGAAGCACCGGCUAACUACGUG